GAUGAACGCUAGCGGCAGGCCUAAUACAUGCAAGACGAACGGUAAGUUGAGUAGCAAUACUUAGCCAAGAGUGUCGUACGGGUGCGUAACACGUAUGCAACCUACCCUAUACAGGAGGAUAGCCUAGGGAAACCUGGAUUAACCCUUCAUAGUAUUAUUGGAUGGCAUCAUUUGAUAAUUAAAACUGAGGUGGUAUAGGAUGGGCAUGCGUCUGAUUAGUUAGUUGGCGGGGUAAUGGCCCACCAAGACGAUGAUCAGUAGGGGUUCUGAGAGGAAGAUCCCCCACACUGGCACUGAGAUACGGGCCAGACUCCUACGGGAGGCAGCAGUAGGGAAUAUUGGUCAAUGGAUGCAAGUCUGAACCAGCCAUGCCGCGUGCAGGAAGAAGGGCCCUUUCUGGGGUUGUAAACUGCUUUUGCCAGGGGAUAAAAUUUCCAUGCGUGGAAAACUGAAGGUACCUGGUGAAUAAGCCACGGCUAACUACGUGCCAGCAGCCGCGGUAAU
This 504-nucleotide ribosomal RNA is filed under the name uncultured bacterium. RNAcentral's name for it is "bacterial SSU rRNA". It matches the Rfam family "Bacterial small subunit ribosomal RNA", at positions 28 to 524 of the family's 1533-position model. The record is from RNAcentral.